AUCUAUGUAACCUAGAAGCUUAGAAUAUAUUUAUGAAAAUGGUUGACACAAACGUACUGAUGAUUUGAAGAGUUAUUUCCCUUAACCUAGGUCUACCUCCUUAAUAGAGUCUAAAGAUACCAAUUGAUUUUCAAACUCAUAAGUAUAUAAGUAUAAGAAAAUAAACUAACAAGGACAUGCAUGGUAAAAAAGAAAAAUAAAACUACAAAAUGACAAAACAACAGUAUAUAGAAAAGUAAAGGCUAAAUACUUAGGAACACGAACAUCGAGAAAAAACAUCCUGCCCUUCAAGGCUACAUGUGGAGCCCAUCGUGUUGCUCAUACAAGAACAAACCCGAUAUGUGUAAAAAAAAAAAAAAAAAAGAAAAAAAAAGGAAAAUCACCAAAGUACUGAACUCAGAGGAAAAUCUAAUCGGAAAGUCCAUUAUCACAUGGCAAAAUCAAAUGACAAAACCCAUCAAAAUCAAAUGGACAAGAACUGUCAUAUUCCUGACUUGGUACAGGCAUUUUCAAAUGUAGCGUUUUAUAGCGUUUUAUAGCGUUAAACCUUUCACUUUGAUGACAGUCUCAUUAAAUUCCGUUAUAUUUACAAUGAUGCGUGGACAAAACAGAC
RNAcentral lists this long non-coding RNA (613 nucleotides) under Mytilus galloprovincialis (Mediterranean mussel). Lineage: Eukaryota; Metazoa; Mollusca; Bivalvia; Mytilida; Mytilidae. The record is from RNAcentral.